This is a long non-coding RNA of Pipistrellus kuhlii (Kuhl's pipistrelle), 118 nucleotides long. RefSeq lists it as uncharacterized. The transcript has 2 exons. The record is from RefSeq and is a predicted model, not a curated record. Lineage: Eukaryota; Metazoa; Chordata; Mammalia; Chiroptera; Vespertilionidae.
UUGACUAGUGGCUUGGUGUAUAGUCCAUAUAAGGUACACGGUUAGGCACUCAGGUAUUUCCGGGCUGCAGGUAACAUCUUACUCCGCCCACCAGUUGGGGGAAGGGAGGAUCCAUCAG